UACAGAGACUGCAAGCGUUAUUCGGAUUCACUGGGCGUAAAGGGUGCGCAGGCGGCCAAGUGUGUGAGGCGUGAAAGCCCGAUGCUUAACAUCGGAAUUGCACCUCAAACUACAUGGCUAGAGCAUUGGAGAGGGUAGCGGAAUUCACGGUGUAGCAGUGAAAUGCGUAGAUAUCUGGAGGAAUACCGGUGGCGAAGGCGGCAUCCUGGACCGACAUUGACGCUGAACGGCGAAGGCUAGGGGAGCAAACGGG
This 253-nucleotide ribosomal RNA is filed under the name uncultured bacterium. RNAcentral describes it as "partial 16S ribosomal RNA". It matches the Rfam family "Bacterial small subunit ribosomal RNA", at positions 524 to 776 of the family's 1533-position model. The record is from RNAcentral.